Molecule: non-coding RNA, 92 nt
Organism: Lyophyllum atratum
Lineage: Eukaryota; Fungi; Basidiomycota; Agaricomycetes; Agaricales; Lyophyllaceae
Source: the annotation of a GenBank genome assembly
GGGGGCAUAGCUCAGUUGGGAGAGCAGCAGACUGAAGUUCAACUGACUUUCCAAUUUUCUGAAGGUCCCGCGUUCAAUCCGCGGUGCCCCCA